Molecule: unclassified non-coding RNA, 333 nt
Filed under: soil metagenome
Description: partial contains 5.8S ribosomal RNA, internal transcribed spacer 2, and large subunit ribosomal RNA
Rfam family: 5.8S ribosomal RNA (bases 1-120)
Source: RNAcentral
GAUGAAGAACGUAGCGAAAUGCGAUAAGUAAUGUGAAUUGCAGAAUUCAGUGAAUCAUCGAAUCUUUGAACGCACAUUGCGCCCGCCAGUAUUCUGGCGGGCAUGCCUGUUCGAGCGUCAUUUCAACCAUCAAGCCCCAGGCUUGUGUUGGAGCCCUGCGGCUGCCGCAGCCUCCCAAAACCAGUGGCGGGCUCGCUAUCACACCGAGUGCAGUAGUUUACUCUUCGCUCAGGGCGUGUGGCGGGUGCUAGCCGUGAAACCCCCAACUUCUCAAGGUUGACCUCGGAUCAGGUAGGAAUACCCGCUGAACUUAAGCAUAUCAAAAGCGGAGGA